RNAcentral lists this transfer RNA (84 nucleotides) under Planoprotostelium fungivorum. RNAcentral describes it as "tRNA-Tyr". It matches the Rfam family "tRNA". From Rfam's summary of the family: Transfer RNA (tRNA) molecules are approximately 80 nucleotides in length. Their secondary structure includes four short double-helical elements and three loops (D, anti-codon, and T loops). The record is from RNAcentral. Lineage: Eukaryota; Evosea; Variosea; Cavosteliida; Cavosteliaceae.
UGUGGAAUGGCCGAGCGGUUUAAGGCGGCGGAUUGUAAAUCCCCUGUGGGUAACCACGCCCAGGUUCAAAUCCUGGUUCCACCA